UUACGGGAGGCAGCAGUGAGGAAUUUUCCGCAAUGAGUGAAAGCUUGACGGAGCAAUGCCGCGUGGAGGAAGAAGGCCUUAGGGUUGUAAACUCCUUUUCUCAUUGAAGAAAUUUUGACGGUAUUUGAGGAAUAAGCAUCGGCUAACUCCGUGCCAGCAGCCGCGGUAAUACGGGGGAUGCAAGCGUUAUCCGGAAUUAUUGGGCGUAAAGAGUUUGUAGGUGGCUUGGUGUGUUUAGUGUUAAAUUUUAGAGCUUAACUCUGACAAGGCACUAAAAACUAUUAGGCUUGAGUAUGAUAGAGGUAAAGGGAAUUCCCAGUGUAGCGGCGAAAUGCGUAGAUAUUGGGAAGAACACCAACGGCGAAAGCACUUUGCUAGGUUAAUACUGACACUGAGAAACGAGAGCUAAGGUAGCAAACAGGAUUAGAUACCCUAGUAGUCCU
Molecule: ribosomal RNA, 443 nt
Filed under: uncultured bacterium
Lineage: Bacteria
Description: bacterial SSU rRNA
Rfam family: Bacterial small subunit ribosomal RNA
Source: RNAcentral